This 497-nucleotide ribosomal RNA is filed under the name uncultured bacterium. RNAcentral's name for it is "partial 16S ribosomal RNA". It matches the Rfam family "Bacterial small subunit ribosomal RNA", at positions 28 to 507 of the family's 1533-position model. The record is from RNAcentral.
GAUGAACGCUGGCGGCGUGCCUAAUACAUGCAAGUCGAGCGAACAGAUAAGGAGCUUGCUCCUUUGACGUUAGCGGCGGACGGGUGAGUAACACGUGGGUAACCUACCUAUAAGACUGGGAUAACUUCGGGAAACCGGAGCCAAUACCGGAUAAUAUUUCGAACCGCAUGGUUCGAUAGUGGAAGAUGGUUUUGCUAUCACUUAUAGAUGGACCCGCGCCGUAUUAGCUAGUUGGUAAGGUAACGGCUUACCAAGGCGACGAUACGUAGCCGACCUGAGAGGGUGAUCGGCCACACUGGAACUGAGACACGGUCUAGACUCCUACGGGAGGCAGCAGUAGGGAAUCUUCCGCAAUGGGCGAAAGCCUGACGGAGCAACGCCGCGUGAGUGAUGAAGGUCUUCGGAUCGUAAAACUCUGUUAUUAGGGAAGAACAUACGUGUAAGUAACUGUGCACGUCUUGACGGUACCUAAUCAGAAAGCCACGGCUAACUACGUG